This is a long non-coding RNA of Dreissena polymorpha, 1567 nucleotides long. RefSeq lists it as uncharacterized. The transcript has 2 exons. The record is from RefSeq and is a predicted model, not a curated record. NCBI's taxonomy places the organism in Eukaryota, Metazoa, Mollusca, Bivalvia, Myida, Dreissenidae.
UCAGUAAACUUGUGUUCGUGAACAAAUCCUACAUCGUGUUGUCGACUUUAGCAGAACACAAGGUGUCCAUGCUGCAAGAUUUGGAACGCAUCAUAGAAAAGAUAAGUGCUAAAAGAAACGUUAAUCUGUUAAAUCCGUUAUACUGAAUCUCGAGCAUAGUAUCGAGUGUUACGAAGUAGUAACAGAGUUGAAACAAUGUAUAUUUCAAGUAACAAUUUCAGCACAAGAGAAAGCCGAUCAAUUUACAAAUAGAAAUAUUGAUGGCACGUGACCGAAAAUUCACAGGUCAUUAAUGGUAGAACACGAAAAAAGCUUUCGAACUUACUGGGGAAUAAAUUGCUAUUCUUUGUGGUGUUGUAUACAUUCUAUGUGUAUAUGUGUAAAUGUUUUACGAGUCUGAUGACGUAAUGUUAUUUGCAGAAAAAUACAAGGUAGAGGCGAUGGCAUAUAACAAGGCGGAAACAUAACGCCACGCGGCGCUCUUGACGGGUCAUAUCAGAAGCCGGAAGCUUCAUCUAACAUCGCAACACAAGGGGCUGAAACUCAAUUACCAUUGAGACGCACAGGACUAUGUUUCGCAUGUGGCGAACCGGGUCAUCGGAAAGGAGCAGCUGGAUGUUCAGCAAACAGCUCGACCAAUAAGAAAUGUUUUGAGAGGUACUCUGAAGGAGCGAUUAGAGGGCUCGGGCUUGCAUGGGCUUCGAAGAGAUUAGAUGGCGGACAGAAUGGCUAAGUAAAUACUUAGAACAAUCAAGAGCAGACAAUACGGUGAAGAAAAUAAUUAUUCAUGUGCACAUUUCAAAUACUGUGAAGAAAAUGUAGUCGCCAUGCCAGCCUUACAUAUAUCAGUAGUAAUGUACAUGGCUCGAUUGAUGGGUCGAGGAAAUCUAAUAACGUUUUUUACAUCUGUGUUUUACACAUAUUAAAUGGAUCCAUUCUAUUAAUAGUGUACAUGAUCCAAAGAAAGAUUUAACAAACUAUUAUAAGAAGCUUCAAAGCGUGUGUGUUUCAAACCAUCUCACAAGAAAGAUGUAUUAUGUACAUGUGCAUUCAUUAGAGAUGAUACAAACAUUGUGUUUGAUAUAUGGAGAUUCCACUGUUUUCAUUGAUUGAUCAUUUUUGGGUUGUGCAUGUACAUGUAUCAUGCAUAUUAACAAAUUAAGUGAGUUUCAUUGUAAUGACCUACAAUUGAAAUCUGAUCACUUUGUUAUUAAUGUACGCCAUUAUAAUACUGGCAUGUAUACAAAUGGUCCGGAUAUUAUAAUUGCAAAAUGUACAACUACAACUUUCCAUAUGGCGUUUUAUUAACAAAUAUGUAAUUAGCAAAUUGGUCAGAUGAAUCAAAUGAUUUUUUGUUCAAACCAGUUAUUGGUUAUAUAUAUGUAAUUAUUUAGACUAGCUAACGCCGAGGGCGUGUUUUAGAGAUGUUUGAAGCGACAUGGUCGAUGGAAGUCUGAUAGGGCUAAAGAUGAGUACAUUGAUGAUUCUCUAGACAAAAAGCUUUUUAUCACUAGACAAUUGAAAUUAUAAUUGAUUUGCGGUUCGAAUUUUAAACCUUACUAACCUU